GACGAACGCUGGCGGCGUGCUUAACACAUGCAAGUCGAACGGAAAGGCCCUGCUUUUGUGGGGUGCUCGAGUGGCGAACGGGUGAGUAACACGUGAGUAACCUGCCCUUGACUUUGGGAUAACUUCAGGAAACUGGGGCUAAUACCGGAUAGGAGCUCCUGCUGCAUGGUGGGGGUUGGAAAGUUUCGGCGGUUGGGGAUGGACUCGCGGCUUAUCAGCUUGUUGGUGGGGUAGUGGCUUACCAAGGCUUUGACGGGUAGCCGGCCUGAGAGGGUGACCGGCCACAUUGGGACUGAGAUACGGCCCAGACUCCUACGGGAGGCAGCAGUGGGGAAUAUUGCACAAUGGGCGGAAGCCUGAUGCAGCAACGCCGCGUGCGGGAUGACGGCCUUCGGGUUGUAAACCGCUUUCGCCUGUGACGAAGCGUGAGUGACGGUAAUGGGUAAAGAAGCACCGGCUAACUACGUGCCAGCAGCCGCGGUGAUACGUAGGGUGCGAGCGUUGUCCGGAUUUAUUGGGCGUAAAGGGCUCGUAGGUGGUUGAUCGCGUCGGAAGUGUAAUCUUGGGGCUUAACCCUGAGCGUGCUUUCGAUACGGGUCGACUUGAGGAAGGUAGGGGAGAAUGGAAUUCCUGGUGGAGCGGUGGAAUGCGCAGAUAUCAGGAGGAACACCAGUGGCGAAGGCGGUUCUCUGGGCCUUUCCUGACGCUGAGGAGCGAAAGCGUGGGGAGCGAACAGGCUUAGAUACCCUGGUAGUCCACGCUGUAAACGGUGGGUACUAGGUGUGGGGUCCACUCCACGGGUUCCGUGCCGUAGCUAACGCUUUAAGUACCCCGCCUGGGGAGUACGGCCGCAAGGCUAAAACUCAAAGGAAUUGACGGGGCCCCGCACAAGCGGCGGAGCAUGCGGAUUAAUUCGAUGCAACGCGUAGAACCUUACCUGGGUUUGACAUGGAUCGGGAGUGCUCAGAGAUGGGUGUGCCUCUUUUGGGGUCGGUUCACAGGUGGUGCAUGGCUGUCGUCAGCUCGUGUCGUGAGAUGUUGGGUUAAGUCCCGCAACGAGCGCAACCCUUGUUCACUGUUGCCAGCACGUUAUGGUGGGGACUCAGUGGAGACCGCCGGGGUCAACUCGGAGGAAGGUGGGGAUGACGUCAAGUCAUCAUGCCCCUUAUGUCCAGGGCUUCACGCAUGCUACAAUGGCUGGUACAGAGAGUGGCGAGCCUGUGAGGGUGAGCGAAUCUCGGAAAGCCGGUCUCAGUUCGGAUUGGGGUCUGCAACUCGACCUCAUGAAGUCGGAGUCGCUAGUAAUCGCAGAUCAGCAACGCUGCGGUGAAUACGUUCCCGGGGCU
This 1346-nucleotide ribosomal RNA is filed under the name uncultured bacterium. RNAcentral describes it as "partial 16S ribosomal RNA". It matches the Rfam family "Bacterial small subunit ribosomal RNA", at positions 28 to 1381 of the family's 1533-position model. The record is from RNAcentral.